GACGAACGCUGGCGGCGUGCCUAAUACAUGCAAGUCGAGCGCUGAAGGUUGGUACUUUUACCAACUGGAUGAGCAGCGAACGGGUGAGUAACGCGUGGGGAAUCUGCCUUUGAGCGGGGGACAACAUUUGGAAACGAAUGCUAAUACCGCAUAAAAACUUUAAACACAAGGUUUAAGUUUGAAAGAUGCAAUUGCAUCACUCAAAGAUGAUCCCGAGUUUUAUUAGCUAGUUGGUGAGGUAAAGGCUCACCAAGGCGAAGAUACAUAGCCGACCUGAGAGGGUGGUUGAGCACAUUGGGAACGGGACACGGCCCAAACCCCUAAGGGGGGCAGGAGUGGGGGAAUUUCGGCAAUAGAGGGAAGGCUUGCCGCGCACCGCCGCGUGGGUGGAGGAGGGUUUCGGGUCGUAAAAGUCCGUUGGUUGGGGAGAACGUUGAGGAGGGUGGAAAGCUCAUCAAGUGACGGUAACUACCCAGUAAGCAACGGCUAACUUCGUG
This 497-nucleotide ribosomal RNA is filed under the name uncultured bacterium. Its description in RNAcentral is "partial 16S ribosomal RNA". It matches the Rfam family "Bacterial small subunit ribosomal RNA", at positions 28 to 507 of the family's 1533-position model. The record is from RNAcentral.